GCUUAAUUCCUACUGAUACCAUUGCAGAGUGGAUCCAUGGAAAACACUGGGUAGGAAAAAAAGAAAACCUUGAAAUAUUAGCUUCAAUGAAGGAAAAUCUGGAUAACUUAUUCUUAUGAAUCUGAAACAAUUUAAGAAAACAAAUGACUGCUUGAUUUUUGUGCCAAUUGAAUAGAAUGGGAUUCAAUUUUUAAUAGCAAGUUGGCAUGGCUAAGUAAGGUCCCUGGGAUUCUCUUGCAAUGCCGUGAAAGCAAAAGGACAGCUCUCCUAACAAGAAGCCAAGAUUGCUACAGGAGGCUGAGGAGAGGAAAAAGCCCUUUUCUCAUCACCAUUGAUUCCUUCAGUCUCCAUGAUUUCCUCUCAAGAACUGCCAUUUGUUGCUGUAGAUGGCCCAGUUGCAGACGUGCCUGAGUUCAGCAUAGUGUUGAGGAGAAUCCCAGAGAUCUGAAUCCCAGGAGAAGUCAGCCCAUCCUGCUGUUCGUGGGAAUCUAUAAAGGAGGUGCACAAAGCUCCAGUUGCCCCUGAUUUGAGAGAUGUCUCCAGAGCAGCACUUGUUCCUGGAAAAGUUUGAGAGCCUGUGUCCAAGACGCUCUCCAACUUACUCACUUGGAAGGACUCCAG
Molecule: long non-coding RNA, 621 nt
Organism: Homo sapiens (human)
Lineage: Eukaryota; Metazoa; Chordata; Mammalia; Primates; Hominidae
Exons: 4
Source: RefSeq, a predicted model, not a curated record